AGCACCACAACGAGGUGGAGCCUGCGGUUUAAUCGGACUCAACGCCGGGAAACUCACCAGAUAAGACAGCUGAAUGAUAGUCGGGCUGAAGACUCUACUUGACUAGCUGAGAGGAGGUGCAUGGCCGUCGUCAGUUCGUACUGUGAAGCAUCCUGUUAAGUCAGGCAACGAGCGAGACCCACGCCAACAGUUGCCAGCUCGUCCUCCGGGAUGGUGGGGACACUGUUGGGACCGCCUCUGCUAAAGAGGAGGAAGGAAUGGGCAACGGUAGGUCAGCAUGCCCCGAAUUAUCUGGGCUACACGCGGGCUACAAUGGGUGGGACAAUGGGUAUCGACACCGAAAGGUGAAGGCAAUCUCCUAAACCCAUCCGUAGUUCGGAUUGUGGGCUGCAACUCGCCCACAUGAAGCUGGAAUCUGUAGUAAUCGUGUCUCAAAAUGGCACGGUGAAUAUGUCCCUGCUCCUU
RNAcentral lists this ribosomal RNA (465 nucleotides) under uncultured Methanomicrobiales archaeon. RNAcentral's name for it is "bacterial SSU rRNA". It matches the Rfam family "Archaeal small subunit ribosomal RNA", at positions 875 to 1338 of the family's 1478-position model. Lineage: Archaea; Methanobacteriati; Methanobacteriota; Methanomicrobia; Methanomicrobiales. The record is from RNAcentral.